Molecule: long non-coding RNA, 241 nt
Filed under: Elaeis guineensis (African oil palm)
Lineage: Eukaryota; Viridiplantae; Streptophyta; Magnoliopsida; Arecales; Arecaceae
Description: long non-coding RNA (EGUI_LNC011735)
Source: RNAcentral
CCAGACGGACUUCUCUAGCAAUCAGAUUCCUAUCGGACUUCACCAACAAAAAGUCUCCAUCCGAGCUUCUACAGCAGAUGACUCCCACCUGUAGUAUCAGCGCCUAAGGUAUCCGACAACAGUAGACUCGUUGCAACCUUGGAGACAUCCGAGCUUCUCCCAGAUCGACGGGAUAGAGAGCCAUCCCGCUCCAUCAGAUGUUCCAGCUAAGCUCCAGCCGACAGAUCUGAACUCUCUGGCA